Molecule: ribosomal RNA, 500 nt
Filed under: uncultured bacterium
Lineage: Bacteria
Description: partial 16S ribosomal RNA
Rfam family: Bacterial small subunit ribosomal RNA
Source: RNAcentral
AUUGAACGCUGGCGGAAUGCUUUACACAUGCAAGUCGAACGGCAGCACGGACUUCGGUCUGGUGGCGAGUGGCGAACGGGUGAGUAAUGUAUCGGAACGUGCCCAGUCGUGGGGGAUAACGUAGUGAAAAUUACGCUAAUACCGCAUACGAUCUAUGGAUGAAAGCGGGGGAUCGCAAGACCUCGCGCGAUUGGAGCGGCAGAUAUCAGUUUAGGUAGUUGGUGGGGUAAAGGCCCACCAAGCCAACGAUCUGUAGCUGGUCUGAGAGGACGACCAGCCACACUAGAACAGCGACACGGUCCAGACUCCUGCGGGAGGCAGCAGUGGGUAAUUUUGGACUAUGGGCGAAAGCCUGGUCCAGCCAUUCCGCGUGCAGGAUGAAGGCCCUCGGGUUGUAAACUGCUUUUGUACAGAACGAAAAGGUUUCUACUAAUACUAGGAGCUCAUGACGGUACUGUAAGAAUAAGCACCGGCUAACUACGUGCCAGCCGCCGCGGUAA